Molecule: ribosomal RNA, 492 nt
Filed under: uncultured bacterium
Lineage: Bacteria
Description: partial 16S ribosomal RNA
Rfam family: Bacterial small subunit ribosomal RNA
Source: RNAcentral
AGUGAACGCUGGCGGUAGGCCUAACACAUGCAAGUCGAACGGCAGCACAGUAAGAGCUUGCUCUUACGGGUGGCGAGUGGCGGACGGGUGAGGAAUACAUCGGAAUCUACUUUUUCGUGGGGGAUAACGUAGGGAAACUUACGCUAAUACCGCAUACGACCUACGGGUGAAAGCAGGGGAUCUUCGGACCUUGCGCGAUUGAAUGAGCCGAUGUCGGAUUAGCUAGUUGGCGGGGUAAAGGCCCACCAAGGCGACGAUCCGUAGCUGGCCUGAGAGGAUGACCAGCAACACGGAAACUGGGACACGGCCCAGACCCCAGGGGGAGGAGCCGGGGGGGGAUAUUGGACAAGGGGCGCAGCCUGAACCCAGCCAUGCCGCGGAGGAAAAGAAGGCCUUAGGUUUUUAAGGCCUUUUUGUAGGAAAAAAAAAGAAGCGGGUUAUUCCCCCGCUGUUCGUGAGUUACCAAAAAAAUAAGCGCCGGCUAACUUCGUG